Molecule: ribosomal RNA, 468 nt
Filed under: uncultured bacterium
Lineage: Bacteria
Description: partial 16S ribosomal RNA
Rfam family: Bacterial small subunit ribosomal RNA
Source: RNAcentral
GACGAACGCUGGCGGCGUGCUUAACACAUGCAAGUCGAACGGAAAGGCCCUGCUUUUGUGGGGUGCUCGAGUGGCGAACGGGUGAGUAACACGUGAGUAACCUGCCCUUGACUUUGGGAUAACUUCAGGAAACUGGGGCUAAUACCGGAUAGGAGCUCCUGCUGCAUGGUGGGGGUCGGAAAGUUUCGGCGGUUGGGGAUGGACUCGCGGCUUAUCAGCUUGUUGGUGGGGUAGUGGCUUACCAAGGCUUUGACGGGUAGCCGGCCUGAGAGGGUGACCGGCCACCUUGGGACUGAGAUACGGCCCAGACUCCUACGGGAGGCAGCAGUGGGGAAUAUUGCACAAUGGGCGGAAGCCUGAUGCAGCAACGCCGCGUGCGGGAUGACGGCCUUCGGGUUGUAAACCGCUUUCGCCUGUGACGAAGCGUGAGUGACGGUAAUGGGUAAAGAAGCACCGGCUAACUACGUG